GUCUAAGGCAUACCACCCUAAAUAUUCCCCAUCUCAUCUGAUAUCUUAAGGUGAGGGUUGGGCCUAGGUUGCACUUGCAUGGGAGAGCACCUGGAAUACCAGGUGCUGUAGGUU
Molecule: ribosomal RNA, 114 nt
Organism: Ictidomys tridecemlineatus (thirteen-lined ground squirrel)
Lineage: Eukaryota; Metazoa; Chordata; Mammalia; Rodentia; Sciuridae
Source: Ensembl